Molecule: long non-coding RNA, 636 nt
Filed under: Lathyrus oleraceus (garden pea)
Lineage: Eukaryota; Viridiplantae; Streptophyta; Magnoliopsida; Fabales; Fabaceae
Description: Pisum sativum (pea) long non-coding RNA (PSAT_LNC026765)
Source: RNAcentral
UUUAUGUUAACCUGAAAGUUAGUAUAAAUAAGUGUAUGAUUUUUACACAAUAAAAGUAUAAUCAAUCCCACAAAGAAAAAGAAAAGGCACACAAAUACCACUCAACCUUCAUUGUCGCCGCACCAUCCGUUGGAAACACACCAUGUUGUCGUACCCGCUCUGUUUGUCUCCGACGCGCCAUACUUUCUCUGAUUCAAUAGUUUUUCUUGUUGCUUUGGUGUUAUGUCGUUGCGUAUUGAAUUUGAUUCAUACAGUGCUUAAAUGAUUUUUUCUAAUUUAAAAAUCAAGAGUGUUAGAGAGGGAGAAAGACUUGUUCUCUUCUUUAUUUUUGAGUGUGAGUGGUGUGAAUGAUAUUUGACAGUUUUACAAAGUUAGUUUUUUUUUCUUUUUUAUUAUUAAAUUGAAAUUUAAUUAAAUUGAAAAGAAGUAGAUUUUUUUUUGAGGGAUAUUGCAUUUUUUAUACUAUGUUGAAUAAAAAGGAUUGACUAAUUGUGUUAUUCAAUUUUCACUCAUUCUUUUUCCAUUUCCUUUAUUAUUAUUUAUGAGCUUUCUUUUUAAAUAAGAUUUGAAUAAAUAAGUUGCCCUUGUGUUGAUAACACAUGUGUUUUGUUCUAUGAUAGUUGUAUUCAAUUUCCG